Molecule: ribosomal RNA, 43 nt
Filed under: Schyzocotyle acheilognathi
Lineage: Eukaryota; Metazoa; Platyhelminthes; Cestoda; Bothriocephalidea; Bothriocephalidae
Description: partial 28S ribosomal RNA
Source: RNAcentral
CCUGACCUCGGAUCAGUCGUGCUACCCGCUGAACUUAAGCAUA